This 497-nucleotide ribosomal RNA is filed under the name uncultured bacterium. RNAcentral describes it as "partial 16S ribosomal RNA". It matches the Rfam family "Bacterial small subunit ribosomal RNA", at positions 28 to 507 of the family's 1533-position model. The record is from RNAcentral.
GAUGAACGCUGGCGGCGUGCCUAAUACAUGCAAGUCGAGCGAACGGACGAGAAGCUUGCUUCUCUGAUGUUAGCGGCGGACGGGUGAGUAACACGUGGAUAACCUACCUAUAAGACUGGGAUAACUUCGGGAAACCGGAGCUAGUACCGGAUGAUAUUUUGAACCGCAUGGUUCAAAAGUGAAAGACGGUCUUGCUGUCACUUAUAGAUGGAUCCGCGCUGCAUUAGCUAGUUGGUAAGGUAACGGCUUACCAAGGCAACGAUGCAUAGCCGACCUGAGAGGGUGAUCGGCCACACUGGAACUGAGACACGGCCCAGACUCCUACGGGAGGCAGCAGUAGGGAAUCUUCCGCAAUGGGCGAAAGCCUGACGGAGCAACGCCGCGUGAGUGAUGAAGGUCUUCGGAUCGUAAAACUCUGUUAUUAGGGAAGAACAUAUGUGUAAGUAACUGUGCACAUCUUGACGGUACCUAAUCAGAAAGCCACGGCUAACUACGUG